UAUGGUAAUUGUGUGCCAGCCUCUUCUUUACUACGUAGGUGGUAAGCGUUGUCCGGAAUUAUUGGGCGUAAAGCGCGCGCAGGCGGCCGUGCAAGUCCAUCUUAAAAGCGUGGGGCUUAACCCCAUGAGGGGAUGGAAACUGCAGGGCUGGAGUGUCGGAGGGGAAAGUGGAAUUCCUAGUGUAGCGGUGAAAUGCGUAGAGAUUAGGAAGAACACCGGUGGCGAAGGCGACUUUCUAGACGACAACUGACGCUGAGGCGCGAAAGCGUGGGGAGCAAACAGG
This 283-nucleotide ribosomal RNA is filed under the name Dialister histaminiformans. Its description in RNAcentral is "Allisonella histaminiformans partial 16S ribosomal RNA". It matches the Rfam family "Bacterial small subunit ribosomal RNA", at positions 492 to 776 of the family's 1533-position model. Lineage: Bacteria; Bacillati; Bacillota; Negativicutes; Veillonellales; Veillonellaceae. The record is from RNAcentral.